CAAUGGGAUGGACCAAGCAUUGUUGGCCCAAAUACCAUGGCCCGAGAUGAGCAAAUGGGGGUGCGAAUUGGAGGUGAACUGGAAAAGAACUAAUCCGCCCAAACCGAACUCCAGGUUAGCUUUACAACGGGAGUGAUCGAAGGAAUCCGAAACAAAUCGAGCGGCGCUCCCUCUAUGUUCAUCACGAUCAGCAUCGCGUUUCAUCGCAGUCAACAUCGCGCCUCCACAAAUUUCCGCUCACGUUGCAGCGUUUCAACACGCUCGCGGAUUCUCGUUCGUCAUCAUCGUAGUUCGAUUCCUUCGCUUACGUCAAACAUCGCCGUGCUUCGACAAUGGUCGUGGAGCCUCUCGUUCAACGUCCACCAUGGUCUUGUAAAUUUUGGAACAAGACGAACGUUUGGCAAUAGAUCCCUCACCAAGUCAAUUUCAAAAAUGGUUCAAAUCGAUUCAAGGACGCGCGUGCACAAAAGCGGAGUCGAAAUUGAAAUGCGAAACUCACCAGAUUUGUCGCGACUUGCAAGAACUGGUAUGAAUCUUUCCUCCUCUUGUGCUUCUUCCUCUACUUCACUUCUGCUCCAUAUCUUCUUCUCAAUCCUUACGUGCGUGUUGUUGUGUUAUUGUGCGAGGUUGUUGUGCGAUUGAUUUGCACCGCAAAAGAUGAAUGUGGGAUAUGAGGUGAAACAGAAGAGGAAGAUGAAGCAGGAAGAUGAUGAAGGUGGAGCAGAAUGAGGAGAUUUUGCAGAAUGAAGACUUGUUGCAGAAUAAACUGAGAGAGGAGAUUUUGCAGAAUGAAGACUUGUUGCAGAAUAAACUGAGAGGGUGAAGAUCGAAGGAUUGGAGGUGGAGAUUCAAGAAUGAAAAAUGCAGAAUCAUGAAGAAGAAGUGAUACAAUGAGUUGAAGAUGGGAUCUUGGAAGGCGUUUGGACGGAGUUUGGACGGAGUUCGGAAGGCAAAAACAAUAUCUCCUUGCAAUAACAUGGAUGGAUUUGUUUGCUUCAUGUAGCUUAUAAUUAGUUUGCAACUUUGGAAAUUCUGUAACUUUGGAUUGAAGUUUGUAGCUUAAAUGGGAAUGAACCAUGAAUUGGAAACAUAAACAUGGAUUAACUUGUAAUGAAUUAAAAAAUGAAUUUGUAUGGAAAGUCAAUAAGUUGUAUAUUAAAUGUGAAUCAUGGUAAGUUAAUGGGGUUA
This is a long non-coding RNA of Lathyrus oleraceus (garden pea), 1188 nucleotides long. RefSeq lists it as uncharacterized. The transcript is spliced from 2 exons. The record is from RefSeq and is a predicted model, not a curated record. NCBI's taxonomy places the organism in Eukaryota, Viridiplantae, Streptophyta, Magnoliopsida, Fabales, Fabaceae.